RNAcentral lists this unclassified non-coding RNA (264 nucleotides) under fungal sp. RNAcentral's name for it is "partial internal transcribed spacer region". The stretch from base 1 to 46 matches the Rfam family "Eukaryotic small subunit ribosomal RNA", at positions 1786 to 1831 of the family's 1831-position model. The record is from RNAcentral. Lineage: Eukaryota; Fungi.
AAGUCGUAACAAGGUUUCCGUAGGUGAACCUGCGGAAGGAUCAUUAACAAAUCUAUGAGCGAAAGCUCAUCAACCUUUGUGAAUUGGGUUGUAUAGUUGGUAACAAUUAUACAAUUUCGUUGGGGUCCCUUUGUGUAAUAGAAAGAUUAUUUUGAAAGAUUUAAUUUUUUCUAUUGCAUAUAUAUUAACAUUGUCUGAUUAUAGAUUGAAGUCGUAAGAUUUCAAAUAAAAAUACAACUUUUAACAAUGGAUCUCUAGGCUCUU